This 1376-nucleotide ribosomal RNA is filed under the name Blaberus peruvianus. Its description in RNAcentral is "16S ribosomal RNA". The stretch from base 885 to 1246 matches the Rfam family "Archaeal large subunit ribosomal RNA", at positions 2152 to 2714 of the family's 2987-position model. The record is from RNAcentral. Lineage: Eukaryota; Metazoa; Arthropoda; Insecta; Blattodea; Blaberidae.
UCGAUACAGUUUGAUUAUAAUUUAAUUACUUUUGUUUAAAGUGUAGAAUAUUUAAUUAAUAAAUUAUUUUUGUGUUAGUGUAUUGAUUAUGAAUUUGAUUGUUUUGGUAAUAUAUUAUUUGUACUGUGAAGGAUAAUUUAGAAUGAAUUUAUUAUUUAUUAAGUAGAAUUUGAUUUUUGUACCUUGUGUAUCAGGAUUGAUUAAAUAGAUUAUAUUUAUUAUUGUUUUUCUCGAUUUUAUUAGAUCUAAUAUAUUAAAUUAGUUGUUGUAUUAAAAACAUUAAUAAUAGAAUAUUAGUGAUGAAAUGUUAUUCGUUAAUAAUGGUAUCUAGUUUUCUGGGAAACAAAUUAAAUUUGUCUCUCUUCUUUAAAGAGUUUUCUUUUUAAAUUCUUUUAAGUUUGAGGAAAAUAAGUGAGGGGAUAAGCUCUUAUUUAUAUUUUUAUAAGUUGUUAUAAUUGAAAAGUAUUAUGGAUUUAAUAUUAAUUAAUAAUAUAAAUAUGUUAAAAUUUGGCUUUAAUGUCAAUUUGUUAUUUAUUUUUCUUUAAUAAAGUUUACUGGUAUAUUGAUUUGAAUUUAUUUUGUUUAUUAAUAAUGAUUAAAUUAGUAUAUAGGGAUAUAUGUUUUGAUAUAUGAUUUUAAGGAACUAGGCAAAAGAAGUAAUUAAAUUUAUCCGCCUGUUUAACAAAAACACCUCUUCUUGUAUUAUUUAUGAAGUAUGGCCUGCCCAAUGAGUUUUGAAGGGCCGCGGUAUUUUGACCGUGCAAAGGUAGCAUAAUCAUUAGUCUUUUUAUUGGGGACUGGAAUGAAUGGUUUGACGAGAUAAGAUCUGUCUUUAUAUUAUUUAGUAGAAUUUAAUUUCUGAGUAAAAAAGCUUAGAUAUAAUUAUGGGACGAGAAGACCCUAUAGAGUUUAUAUAAUAAUAAUUUUGUUUAUAAAUAGUAUGUUUAUUAAUAUUAAUUAUAAUUAUUUAGUUGGGGUGAUUGGAAGAUAAUAGUAACUCUUCUUGAUUAAUAAAUAUUAAUUAGUAGUAUUUUGAUCCAUUAUUAAUGAUUAAAAGACUAAAUUACCUUAGGGAUAACAGCGUAAUCUUUUUUGAGAGUUCUAAUUGACAAUAAGGGUUGCGACCUCGAUGUUGGAUUAAGAUAAGUUCUGGGUGUAGAAGCUUGGAGAUAUAGGUCUGUUCGACCUUUAAACUCUUACAUGAUCUGAGUUCAGACCGGCGUGAGCCAGGUUGGUUUCUAUCUAUUAUGAAUUAAUAUACUUUAGUACGAAAGGACCGAGUAUUAUAAAUAAUUUCUGUAUUUGUGAAUAUUAAUACUAUUUUGACAGAAAAGUGUGGUAGAUUUAGAAUCUAUUUAUGUAGUGUAAAACUAUAA